This 137-nucleotide non-coding RNA is filed under the name Fragilariopsis kerguelensis. The record is from RNAcentral. Lineage: Eukaryota; Bacillariophyta; Bacillariophyceae; Bacillariales; Bacillariaceae.
AAAAAAGAACAACCAUCGAUGUGGCAACAUGUUAUAUAUAUUUACAUUCCUAUAUUCUACUAUUUAUCUUUCUUCUUCUUCAUUUCUUCAAAAUAAUCCUUGUCCGUUCCCAUUCAUACUUUGGGCAGCAUUGUUAU